UACGUAGGGUGCGAGCGUUAAUCGGAAUUACUGGGCGUAAAGCGCGUGCAGGCGGUCUCGUAAGUCCGAUGUGAAAUCCCCGGGCUCAACCUGGGAACUGCGUUGGAAACUACGAGGCUGGAGUACGGCAGAGGGGGGUGGAAUUCCACGUGUAGCAGUGAAAUGCGUAGAUAUGUGGAGGAACACCGGUGGCGAAGGCAGCCCCCUGGGCUAGUACUGACGCUCAUGCACGAAAGCCAGGGGAGCAAACGGG
RNAcentral lists this ribosomal RNA (253 nucleotides) under uncultured bacterium. Its description in RNAcentral is "partial 16S ribosomal RNA". It matches the Rfam family "Bacterial small subunit ribosomal RNA", at positions 524 to 776 of the family's 1533-position model. The record is from RNAcentral.